AUCGUUUAUUUGAUAGUUCCUUUACUACAUGGUAUAACUGUGGUAAUUCUAGAGCUAAUACAUGCUUAAAAUCUCGACCCUUUGGAAGAGAUGUAUUUAUUAGAUAAAAAAUCAAUGUCUUCGGACUCUUUGAUGAUUCAUAAUAACUUUUCGAAUCGCAUGGCCUUGUGCUGGCGAUGGUUCAUUCAAAUUUCUGCCCUAUCAACUUUCGAUGGUAGGAUAGUGGCCUACCAUGGUUUCAACGGGUAACGGGGAAUAAGGGUUCGAUUCCGGAGAGGGAGCCUGAGAAACGGCUACCACAUCCAAGGAAGGCAGCAGGCGCGCAAAUUACCCAAUCCUAAUUCAGGGAGGUAGUGACAAUAAAUAACGAUACAGGGCCCAUUCGGGUCUUGUAAUUGGAAUGAGUACAAUGUAAAUACCUUAACGAGGAACAAUUGGAGGGCAAGUCUGGUGCCAGCAGCCGCGGUAAUUCCAGCUCCAAUAGCGUAUAUNAAAGUUGUUGCAGUUAAAAAGCUCGUAGUUGAACUUUGGGCCCGGUUGGCCGGUCCGAUUUUUUCGUGUACUGGAUUUCCAACGGGGCCUUUCCUUCUGGCUAACCUUGAGUCCUUGUGGCUCUUGGCGAACCAGGACUUUUACUUUGAAAAAAUUAGAGUGUUCAAAGCAGGCGUACUGCUCGAAUAUAUUAGCAUGGAAUAAUAGAAUAGGACGUUUGGUUCUAUUUUGUUGGUUUCUAGGACCAUCGUAAUGAUUAAUAGGGACGGUCGGGGGCAUCAGUAUUCAAUUGUCAGAGGUGAAAUUCUU
RNAcentral lists this ribosomal RNA (801 nucleotides) under uncultured fungus. RNAcentral's name for it is "SSU rRNA". It matches the Rfam family "Eukaryotic small subunit ribosomal RNA", at positions 112 to 921 of the family's 1831-position model. The record is from RNAcentral. Lineage: Eukaryota; Fungi.